Molecule: long non-coding RNA, 1284 nt
Organism: Symphalangus syndactylus (siamang)
Lineage: Eukaryota; Metazoa; Chordata; Mammalia; Primates; Hylobatidae
Source: RefSeq, a predicted model, not a curated record
CCAGCUAAUUUUUUUUUUUUUUUUUUUUUUUUUUUUGUAUUUUUAGUAGAGACGGGGUUUCACCAUGUUGGCUAGGAUGGUCUCAAUCUCCUGACCUCGUGAUCUACCUGCAUCGGCCUCCCAGAGUGCUGGGAUUACAGCUUACUAAGUCACUGGGACAGCUAAUUCUAAGUGAGCAGAUUACAGCACCGCAUUUUUCCAGCUAAACGACUCACAGAUCCAAGAAUCCCAGAAAGAUGACUGGACAUUUGAUUUCGAAACUGAAGAUUUAAGUAAUUUGCCAGAGUCAGAAUGCUGUAAGCAUCAGAACUGGAUUUUCAAACUUAAGUUUAUCUGACUCAAAAGCUUUUGCCUUUCACCACCACCCUAUUGCUUCUAAAAUGUCAAACAUCGGCUGAACCACAGGACAGGUACCCUAUAAAUGUAAGUUUAUCUUUCUCAUCCCCUUCCAAUAGUGCCUCUGAUUCUUUCUGUAUUCUUCCCCACCAGCAGGUACUGAUUAUUGUCUGCCACAUUCUAUUUCAUGGAAUAUUUCUUAAGUUUUACCUUUUGAUGAAAACACAUCCCAAGUGUCUGAGAGAAGAUCAUUAAAAUUACAACUUAAAAGAGAACUGACCCAACUGCCUAUGAAACUUAGCUGCACAAAAAUACUGCAAUCAGCUCAACAGGAUUUACUGUGUACUUCUGAUAAGCCAAUACUACUUAGAAGAAAUUCUUCAGAUUAUGGUCUGGAAACUUUUUAUAUUGCACACUUAAUCAGUAGUAGAAUAUUGAGUGUGUACUCCAAAUUUCUGUAUAAUUUACUUAUAAAUUACAUACUUAUAUUUUAAUUAUGAUCUUAUAUAUUUAUAACAUAUAAUAAAAUAUAAUUAUAUUUAUAAUAUAAAAUUUCAGAUAUUGAAAUCCUAACCCCAAUGUGAGAAGCAUUAGAAGGGGGAGCCUUUGGGACAUAAUUAGGUCAUGAGGGUAAAGCCCUCAUGAAUGGGAUUAGUGCCCUUAUAAAAAGACACAAGAGUUUGCUUUCUCUCCUAUUCUCUCUGCUCUCCACCAUGUGAGGUGGAGGACAUGGCAAGAAGACUGCCAUCUGUAAACCCAGAAGCAGACCCUCACCAGAACUCAAUCUGUUGACAAGUUGACCUUGGCCUUCUCAGCCUCCAAAAGUGUGAGAAAUAAAUGUUUGUUAUUUAAUCCACCUAGUCUAUGGUAAUUUGUUAUAGCAGCAGAGCUAAGACAAUGUAUCUAUAAAGUAUGUGCAUUGUGAAACAGACAAUAAAAGUUAAUAAA